This 627-nucleotide ribosomal RNA is filed under the name Triticum aestivum (bread wheat). RNAcentral describes it as "partial small subunit ribosomal RNA". Lineage: Eukaryota; Viridiplantae; Streptophyta; Magnoliopsida; Poales; Poaceae. The record is from RNAcentral.
AUGGAGAGACUUGUUAAUGUUCAUUACAUUGACAAGGAGGCAUUCUUGAGUAACAAUGCCGACACGGGUGAGGAACCAUUGGUUUUUGAUAGAAGCCCUAGCUAUGAGGAUGUUGUUGCAAAAGUGAGACAAGUCUUGAAGUGGAUGGACACCAAUGUUGAUGUUAAGUUAAUAGGAAGGUAUGAUGUUGGAGUUGGAGCCAAAUCUCGCUUGAAAAGUAUGCCUAUCACCUCGGAUUUGCAUUGGGAUGUAUACAAGGAAAAAGUAUCCCAAUCGGAAGACAAGUCACUUGAAUUGUUUGCCACCACUGAAUCUCCUCGGUUUACCUUUGAUUUGAACCGGCAUGUCUCUUCCCCAAUGGAUGACAUGAGCGUUGAGUUGUAUGCCCCCAAUGCUUCUAGCCAACCACCAACUAGCCAAGCAAAUGAAGUUGAGGUGAUUGCUAGUGACGGAGUAAUUCAAGAGGAUGAAGAUGCUUAUGAUGACGACGAAGAGCAAGAGGAAGGGUUUCAUGGCAAUGAUGUUGGUGACUUGGAUGUGUACAUAGCGCAAAAGGACAUGGAUCGUGACUUGCCUUUUAGGCGUCAAUAUGCGUAUGACUCGGAUGACGAGGGUCCAGUUGAAUAG